GAUGAACGCUGGCGGCGUGCCUAAUACAUGCAAGUCGAGCGAACAGAUGAGGAGCUUGCUCCUCUGACGUUAGCGGCGGACGGGUGAGUAACACGUGGAUAACCUACCUAUAAGACUGGGAUAACUUCGGGAAACCGGAGCUAAUACCGGAUAAUAUAUUGAACCGCAUGGUUCAAUAGUGAAAGACGGUUUUGCUGUCACUUAUAGAUGGAUCCGCGCCGCAUUAGCUAGUUGGUAAGGUAACGGCUUACCAAGGCAACGAUGCGUAGCCGACCUGAGAGGGUGAUCGGCCACACUGGAACUGAGACACGGUCCAGACUCCUACGGGAGGCAGCAGUAGGGAAUCUUCCGCAAUGGGCGAAAGCCUGACGGAGCAACGCCGCGUGAGUGAUGAAGGUCUUCGGAUCGUAAAACUCUGUUAUUAGGGAAGAACAAAUGUGUAAGUAACUAUGCACGUCUUGACGGUACCUAAUCAGAAAGCCACGGCAAACUACGUG
RNAcentral lists this ribosomal RNA (497 nucleotides) under uncultured bacterium. RNAcentral's name for it is "partial 16S ribosomal RNA". It matches the Rfam family "Bacterial small subunit ribosomal RNA", at positions 28 to 507 of the family's 1533-position model. The record is from RNAcentral.